AAUGCUGUGACUGUGUUCAUUUGCCUUGCAAAAGAUUCUGGUCUUAGAAGUCAAAUUCUGGAUGUGAAGAGAUGUAUGGAUAGCCCCUACUUUGAAUUGGACUGAUGGUAUUAUUAGACUGUCAAGAUAAUUGUGGUGUUCAGGAGAUUUUCUUCAACAUCUUGACGAGUCUUUGCCAUCACACUUCCUCGUCCAGGUCUGUUCAACGGUAAAAUGUGUGGCCUCUUUGCGUUUUCAGAAAACCACACGUACACUAACUUUCCUGUGAUAUCUUUUUUCUGCCUUGCUCUCAGCAGACGGAGACAGAGAGUGUUUUCCGGGAAGCUCCGACGUUUCGUUUUUGGGUCACGUUGUGACAAGUCGUCGCGGAAACCUGGGGGUCAAGGCAGAUUCUUCCUCUUCUGCGGUUCAGAAAGACGGAGGAAAGAGGCAGCUCGCAUACAGACCGAUAGGGCUGACUGAGAGGUCACUUGAGUCACUGACGGACUGAAGUACGACCCCUCCUCCGCGGCGAUGACCCCGCUGUACUCCUAUGAGUGUCUGUAUCAGGUUAACAGAGCUGCUCGCUGUCAGUGCUCCAACUUCGACAUUCCCGCUGUCCAUGACACGGAUACAUGCAGGAGAUGGACCGCAACAGUUUUUUUUUUUUUUUUUUUUGCGCCUUAACAAUUCGAUGUAUAGAAAGAGAUGAAUCAUUAUGUUGUUAUGGAGGUAAAUAUGAAAGUAUCUCCAAAGCAAACCUUCUCUGGUGAAAAACAUCAGUGCACGUUUUGUUUGUCGAAUGAU
Poecilia latipinna (sailfin molly) is the source of this 786-nucleotide long non-coding RNA. RefSeq lists it as uncharacterized. The record is from RefSeq and is a predicted model, not a curated record. NCBI's taxonomy places the organism in Eukaryota, Metazoa, Chordata, Actinopteri, Cyprinodontiformes, Poeciliidae. The transcript is spliced from 4 exons.